This 598-nucleotide ribosomal RNA is filed under the name uncultured bacterium. RNAcentral describes it as "bacterial SSU rRNA". It matches the Rfam family "Bacterial small subunit ribosomal RNA", at positions 73 to 650 of the family's 1533-position model. The record is from RNAcentral.
CCGGAGCUUGCUCCACCGGAAAAAGAAGAGUGGCGAACGGGUGAGUAACACGUGGGUAACCUGCCCAUCAGAAGGGGAUAACACUUGGAAACAGGUGCUAAUACCGUAUAACAAUCGAAACCGCAUGGUUUUGAUUUGAAAGGCGCUUUCGGGUGUCGCUGAUGGAUGGACCCGCGGUGCAUUAGCUAGUUGGUGAGGUAACGGCUCACCAAGGCCACGAUGCAUAGCCGACCUGAGAGGGUGAUCGGCCACAUUGGGACUGAGACACGGCCCAAACUCCUACGGGAGGCAGCAGUAGGGAAUCUUCGGCAAUGGACGAAAGUCUGACCGAGCAACGCCGCGUGAGUGAAGAAGGUUUUCGGAUCGUAAAACUCUGUUGUUAGAGAAGAACAAGGAUGAGAGUAACUGUUCAUCCCUUGACGGUAUCUAACCAGAAAGCCACGGCUAACUACGUGCCAGCAGCCGCGGUAAUACGUAAGUGGCAAGCGUUGUCCGGAUUUAUUGGGCGUAAAGCGAGCGCAGGCGGUUUCUUAAGUCUGAUGUGAAAGCCCCCGGCUCAACCGGGGAGGGUCAUUGGAAACUGGGAGACUUGAGUGCA